This 254-nucleotide ribosomal RNA is filed under the name uncultured bacterium. RNAcentral's name for it is "partial 16S ribosomal RNA". It matches the Rfam family "Bacterial small subunit ribosomal RNA", at positions 524 to 776 of the family's 1533-position model. The record is from RNAcentral.
UACGUAGGCAGCAAGCGUUGUUCGGAGUUACUGGGCGUAAAGGGUGUGUAGGCGGUGAUUUAAGUUUGGUGUGAAAUCUCCCGGCUUAACCGGGAGGGUGCGCCGAAUACUGAAUGACUUGGAGUGCGGGAGAGGAAAGUGGAAUUCCUGGUGUAGCGGUGAAAUGCGUAGAUAUCAGGAGGAACACCGGUGGUGUAGACGGCUUUCUGGACCGUAACUGACGCUGAGGCGCGAAAGCUAGGGGAGCAAACAGG